UGAAGCUGGAAUCGCUAGUAAUCGUAGAUCAGCAUGCUACGGUGAAUACGUUCCCGGGUCUUGUACACACCGCCCGUCACACCACGAGAGUUUGUAACACCCGAAGCCGGUGGAGUAACCAUUUAUGGAGCUAGCCGUCGAAGGUGGGACAAAUGAUUGGGGUGAAGUCGUAACAAGGUAGCCGUAUCGGAAGGUGCGGCUGGAUCACCUCCUUUCUAAGGA
RNAcentral lists this ribosomal RNA (222 nucleotides) under Staphylococcus saprophyticus. RNAcentral's name for it is "partial 16S ribosomal RNA". It matches the Rfam family "Bacterial small subunit ribosomal RNA", at positions 1321 to 1533 of the family's 1533-position model. The record is from RNAcentral. Lineage: Bacteria; Bacillati; Bacillota; Bacilli; Caryophanales; Staphylococcaceae.